RNAcentral lists this transfer RNA (86 nucleotides) under Opitutaceae bacterium TAV1. RNAcentral's name for it is "tRNA-Leu". It matches the Rfam family "tRNA". Rfam says of the family: Transfer RNA (tRNA) molecules are approximately 80 nucleotides in length. The record is from RNAcentral. Lineage: Bacteria; Pseudomonadati; Verrucomicrobiota; Opitutia; Opitutales; Opitutaceae.
GCCCGGGUGGUGGAACGGUAGACACUGGAGACUUAAAAUCUCUUGCCCGAAAGGGCGUGCGGGUUCGAGUCCCGCCCCGGGCACCC